Molecule: transfer RNA, 77 nt
Filed under: Dehalococcoidales bacterium
Lineage: Bacteria; Bacillati; Chloroflexota; Dehalococcoidia; Dehalococcoidales
Description: tRNA-Pro
Rfam family: tRNA
About the family: Transfer RNA (tRNA) molecules are approximately 80 nucleotides in length. Their secondary structure includes four short double-helical elements and three loops (D, anti-codon, and T loops).
Source: RNAcentral
CGGGGUGUAGCGCAGUUGGCUAGCGCGCAGCGUUUGGGACGCUGAGGCCGGAGGUUCGAGUCCUCUCACCCCGACCA